UAUUCCGUACUGAAACUUGUUAGAACAAGAAAUUAGCGGAAUGACCAAUUUUGUCUGACCGAUCAUCAACGCAGCAAUGGCGUAAGACGUAUUGAUCUUUCAGACAGUUAGCGGGCUGCGGGUUGCAGUCCUUACCGGUACAGGCUCUAUGGAUUUCACGGCGCAGGAAGGCGUUCACACUGGGAUAUCCCGGCGCUCAUCUGGAUCAAAUGAUUAAGAUGAGCAGGUUAAGCCGCCACGCCGGCUACGUGAAAAACGAUGGGUAUAAAUGGAAUCUUCUCUGGUGAUACAUCCCAGGCAGUUCCCCUGAUAAUUGCGCUGUGUUUCCGUUUGAAAUACAGGCGACCGACACUCUGCGCCUCUUAAGCGCGCGACAACCGUGAGGUUGGCGACGUGAAACAGACACGAGGCCAUCGGUUUCCCCCGGUAAGGCGUUACUCUGCCCGUAGCUUAGUCGUCAA
RNAcentral lists this non-coding RNA (461 nucleotides) under Klebsiella oxytoca. RNAcentral describes it as "rne5". It matches the Rfam family "RNase E 5' UTR element". From Rfam's summary of the family: This family represents a conserved element found in the 5' UTR of RNase E mRNA. Lineage: Bacteria; Pseudomonadati; Pseudomonadota; Gammaproteobacteria; Enterobacterales; Enterobacteriaceae. The record is from RNAcentral.